AUGAACUGCGUCAAGAUUCUCGUACUGCUCUCCCUCAUCCCUCUCGCGCUGAGGGGGGCGUCGCUCCUCGUCGUCCCGUCACCUUCCGCCCCUGACUCUGCAUCACGCACCGGCGUCUUGGCUCCGGUGCCGGCGGAGCAGUGGAGGCAGGAGCGGAGGAGGACGGUGGGCCGUCAGACUCGGGGCGGCCGCGCCACCACCAUCGCUCCCUUCGCCCCGCGGCGGUUCGGCGGCUUCUUCCGGGACGACAAGAGGUUCGCGCCGACGGGGUCGAACCCGCUGCACAACCUGUGA
Molecule: ribosomal RNA, 294 nt
Filed under: Triticum aestivum (bread wheat)
Lineage: Eukaryota; Viridiplantae; Streptophyta; Magnoliopsida; Poales; Poaceae
Description: partial small subunit ribosomal RNA
Source: RNAcentral